This 1141-nucleotide unclassified non-coding RNA is filed under the name Drosophila mojavensis. Its description in RNAcentral is "GI12216". Lineage: Eukaryota; Metazoa; Arthropoda; Insecta; Diptera; Drosophilidae. The record is from RNAcentral.
AUAAACUUGCUGACUUAUUAACUUGAACUUGUUUGUUAAUGCUGCAAUUUUCUUCUCGACUUGACUUUUGGUCUUACCAAUUUUGCCCUGCUCAACGGUUUAUGAAAAAAAAACUUCAGAGUCUUCGUCUGUGCUUCAGCUUUUUGUCUUCUUUCUACUAAUUUUUUUUUAUUGUUUUUUUUUUUUUUGUUUUUGGUCAGCAUUCUUUUGUGAAGGCGAUUGCCUUUUUUUCUGUUGGCUGUAAGCUUUCGUCAAGCCAAGGUAAUAAUUUGUCUGUACUUCUUUAGUUUUUAUUUCUGCAUGUUACCAAAAAAUGUCAAAAAAAAGCUAAGAAAAUGAGGAAGAAAUUAUAGACCAAGUCUAGUCUUGGCUAAUUGAAUGUUGAAACGUCUUCACUUAGUUCUUUCUUCUUCUUUGUAGAUUUUGGCUGCAACUGUGCUUUCAACUCGAAAUUUCUUUCAUCUCUUAUUUGUUAAAUGAGCUGAAACCUGACCUUAAAGGCAUGUGCACAAAGGUGAUAAAGUCAGCCAACGGAGCAGCAAGAGCCACCGAUCAACUACCGCCCGGCCCGGCCCGGCAGGCAGGCAGGCAGGCAGACGCUCUUGUCUUAUCGUAUUGGCCAAAUGCUUGACAAUAAAUUAGAUUUUGUGCAAAUUUAGAAUGAAAUCAAAAAUAAAAGCAGCAGCAAUGCAUUAAGUGGAUGCGCUCGACUGGGCAAUACCCUGCAACAUAACGGUCUCUAUCAAUUUUGUAGACUAAGCUGAGUUUAUAGAUCUUAGCAAAUCGUAAUUCAUUUAGAGACGUUGAAGAUUACGAAGUGGAUCGAUCAGAGCUGCUCCCUCUCUUCCCUUACUCAUUUGCAUAUCGCAUAUAUACCCCAUCUGCUCGCUGGUAGGGUAUUGAAAACAAUAUGCCAUCCACUCGAAUGGUAUUUGGCCUGCUCCCAUGAUGGUGCAAAAAAAAAAGCUAUUCACAUAAUUGUGUGAUUUAUAUCACAGCGAAUAGCGGGAAGAGCGAGAAAGUUCGAUGCAAACUGAACGAAUUGUAGAUGCUCUUUAGCUAGAUGAAAUCGCAUUGAAACGGUUUAUGAAUCAAUAUGAAGUGAAACCAGAAAAUAAUUGAAUGAAUUUCAGCUUAAGUU